This 22-nucleotide non-coding RNA is filed under the name Arabidopsis thaliana (thale cress). The record is from RNAcentral. Lineage: Eukaryota; Viridiplantae; Streptophyta; Magnoliopsida; Brassicales; Brassicaceae.
CCGAAAGGUGCAUUACCUCCAU